This 301-nucleotide ribosomal RNA is filed under the name uncultured bacterium. RNAcentral's name for it is "partial 16S ribosomal RNA". It matches the Rfam family "Bacterial small subunit ribosomal RNA", at positions 509 to 807 of the family's 1533-position model. The record is from RNAcentral.
CAGUCGCCGCGGUAAUACGUAGGGUGCGAGCGUUGUCCGGAAUUAUUGGGCGUAAAGAGCUUGUAGGUGGUUUGUCGCGUCUGCUGUGAAAAUCCGAGGCUCAACCUCGGACUUGCAGUGGGUACGGGCAGACUAGAGUGUGGUAGGGGAGACUGGAAUUCCUGGUGUAGCGGUGGAAUGCGCAGAUAUCAGGAGGAACACCGAUGGCGAAGGCAGGUCUCUGGGCCAUUACUGACACUGAGAAGCGAAAGCAUGGGGAGCGAACAGGAUUAGAUACCCGCGUAGUCCCUGUCUCUUAUAC